UGCUUGAUUCCUUCAUGGACGUACCUUGCUAAUUCGUUGUAAAAAUAUUUUUCUGCUUUUCUGCAAACUCGUGUGUUUAGAGAUAACAUUCAUCAAAUCCACCUCAUUCCUACAGAAAACUAAGUUAACAUCCAAUUCGACUUCUUCAACAUCUGCUAUCAGUUCGCUUGUUCAUUCGUUGUCAUAACGUCACGUCAUACAAGAUUAACAGUGUUGAUUGAUUUGGUAGAGAAAGUGUUCAGUAAAUAAACAAUUUAUCAACAAACUCUUUGCAUCUUUAAAAAUGGCGUCCCGGGAAGUGAUCAGCAUCGCGUCUGAUGAUAGCGACACCGAGGAGGACCAGAGCCCACAUAACAAAUUGUCGGAACAAAAGCAUAACAGCAGCUCCCGUAAACACAAGAAACACAAGCGGCACAAAAAAUCAUCCAAAUCCGAGAAAGGGGACAAGCAGCACAAACCGAAAAAACACAAAAAACAUAAAAGGAAGCACCGCGGAGAGGAAGAUGAUCAAGAGAGUAGCUCCGAAGGCGAACAUGCUAAAAACGGUGCUUCGGCGGAACCCCGUAAAGUAGAGCAAACGAUUCGAGCAAAACAACCCAUGGAUGACGAUGAGCAUAGCGAUGAGCGACAUAAAAGAGCUGAACAUGUUGCGCGCUCUAAGAACAACGGCAGCACCAAGGACAUAGUGGAAAAGAGAAAGGGGCAUAUUUCAACCGAUCCUGAUAAACUGGUACAAAUGUUGACGCAAAAUCUGGAAAAGCGUAAAGAGGACGUAGUGUCGGUAGAAAGCGAAAGCGAUGGUACCGCGGUAGAAGAUGCUCCUAGUCCAGACGUUGCAGUCAUUGAGGAUGAUGAGCUCAAUCUGGAAGACUUAAUGCGACAGAAAGCAUUGCUACAAGCGCGCCUCGGUGAGUAUGCAACCGAUGAGGAAGAUGACGGGCAAGGCAAAGUGUCAAGAGCCGAAAUGAACUCCAGAGAACGGCCGGUUAAGAAAAAGAAGGUUGAUACCAACGAAACGGUCAUCACGAUUGACGGUGACUCGACGCCGGAUGAUGACAAACUGCGGAAAAAGCCGUCGAUUGUUACCAACCGCAUGUCUCGAGGUAAUAAAGAGGAUGCUCAUGCAGGACAAAGAGGGAACAACGCAGAUGCCGACACCAAGAGAAGUAAAGACCAGCAAAUACAUCCGGCGGAGGCACGUGCCCGUCAAAUUGAACGGGACCGCGAUCGCGAUCGUGAAACUAGAACCAGAGACGAUCGCCGCAAUCGAGAAGAGGAUAAUUAUAAACGGCGUAUGGCUGAGGAGCGAUAUGAACGGGAAAAGGCACGAGAACGAGACCGGGAUCGAGAACGGGAACGGGACAGGGAACGGGCUCGAGCUCGUCAACGGGAGCGAGAUCGUUCUCUGGAGAGACGACGUGAUCGACGAGGAUACUCUCCCCGUGAUAGAAGUCGAGAAAGACGUUCGAUUGAGCGCGAUCGUGGCCGCCUUGGACCUAUAAGCAUGGGUUCGCGUGAUCGCUUUCGCGGCCGUAGUAGGAGUAGAGAUAGGGAUAUGCGAGGUGUUGGAACAAGGAUGGACCGGGAAAGGGAUCGCGAGCGAUUUCGUGAUAGAGACCGAGCUCGAGAUUACGGUCGUGGCAUGCAGCGAAAUGGGCGCGAUGGCCGUGCUGGUGGAAAGGGCCGUAAGCCAGAUGACGAUCGCUUUAAAGACUCGCUAAGUGAAGGAUUAAAGCAACAAAAAGAGUCGAGCAGUGAAAGUGAAAUCGCAGAUAUUGAUAUCGACGACGAGGAGGACGAAGAAAAGAUUAUUGAAAAAAGACGAAAAGAACGUGAAGCGCUGCUCAAGAAACUGGGUGUGUUGAAUGAAGACAGUAAUACGAUGACGGAAGUGGAGCCUCCCGAGCUUAAACAGGUCAGUAUGAUUAGUACAGCUCCGUCAUCCCUUAACGAGAGCCGUGAAACUACUAGCCAGCGCGCAGAGGAUAACGACUGCGACGGAACAGACCAAUCGCUCACCCCACCGAUACCGAACGAGCGGAAAGCCCUGAUGGAUAAGGUAGAACGUAAGCCGAAAGAAUCACCCGAACCACCGAAAGAUCUGGACAGGCAGAGUAAGGAACCAAAAACUUCUGCGAAAGAAAAUUCUAAACGUCCCGAAUGGGACAUGUUUGCCGAACAGGACAUCGACUCGAAUUUCGACUCACCUGGCACGGUUGUGGCAAACAAACAGGCGCACGAGAAUCCGGCCCUCACGGACAACUGGGACGACGCGGAAGGCUACUAUCGUGUACGCAUCGGUGAAAUCUUGGACAAUCGGUAUGUGGUCGCUAACUACACUGGACAAGGUGUGUUCAGUACGGUCGUGAAGGCGCGGGACCAAGCACGUGGUAACGCUUUUGUUGCCGUCAAAAUCAUUCGCAACAACGAGAUCAUGCAUAAAACGGGCUUGAGAGAACUGGAAAUAUUGAAGAAACUGAACGACGCUGAUCCCAGCGAUCGGUACCACUGUCUUCGCUUGUACAGACACUUUUUCCAUAAGCAACAUCUGUGCAUGGUUCUUGAGCCAUUGUCAAUGAACCUGCGCGAGGUAUUGAAAAAGUAUGGCAAAAAUGUAGGCCUGCACAUUAAAGCAGUGCGCAGCUAUACUCAACAGUUACUUCUUGCUCUGAAAUUGUUAAAAAAGACGGGAAUUCUUCAUGCCGACAUUAAACCGGAUAACAUUUUGGUGAACGAAAACAACUUGGUGCUUAAGCUGUGUGAUUUUGGAUCGGCAUCUUCGAUCACAGAUAACGAAAUUACACCGUACUUGGUAUCCCGUUUCUACCGUGCACCAGAAAUUAUUCUUGGCCUAACGUAUGAUUAUGGUAUCGACAUGUGGUCGGCCGGCUGUUCGAUCUAUGAGCUGUACACGGGCAAGAUACUGUUUAGUGGCCAGUCCAAUAAUCAAAUGCUUAAAUGUUUCAUGGAUCUGAAAGGCAAAAUUCCAAACAAGCUGAUUCGCAAAGGACAAUUCAAGGAUCAACAUUUCGACCAGAAUUGCAACUUUCUAUCUCACGAGAUAGAUAAAAUCACCGAAAGGGAAAAAGUCGUGGUAGUGUCAAUGAUCAAACCAACGAGGGAUCUGCAACAGGAAUUGAUCGCUGGUCAAAAUCUUCCCGACGACCAGAUACGGAAAGUGUCCCAGCUGAAAGACUUAUUAGACAAAGUGUUUGCCCUUGAUCCUGCUAAAAGAAUUUCAUUGAAUCAUGCAUUGGCUCAUCCGUUCAUUCAGGACAAGAUCUGAAUACUGCACUCACCUUGCCGCGGAAUUAUCUGUAUGCAACGGAAGUUUUACCCUUCCAAGUAAUGGUUCAACGCCGAAUCAACGUCAGCUAUACACAUAUUAACGAUCCUUUUCUUACUUACACUUCACUGAUAAAUAUUUCUACAUCCGCACUCGCCCGUAUGUUCUUCGAUCGAUGAAGGAAGCCCAACCCCAUCAUGCAAUCAUCAUUCAUUCGUAGGAGUUGAAGUGUGUGAUUGUUAUACUGAAGCCCAUGAUGAGAAAUUGUAGCUACAUUUUCUCUUGUUUUUCACGAAGAAAAAAUAAGAGAGCAUCUGAUGUUGAGAAUGAGUACAUUUACUCAGUUGGACGACCUACUCAGUACGCGUCAAGCGAUUAAUUAAGGCUUGAAAGCAAUCUGUGCCCUAAUGGAUUCCAGCCAGUAUUUGACAAAAAUCCCCACGUCAAACAGAAGCAUGCGUCCCGUCAUGGAUUAGGUCUCUUUUGGAAUAAUCCCACGGCACGCCCCUCACGGGAAUUCGAUGCUGUUAAGCUGUGCUUAAGAGGUAGUGAAGAAUUAUCCAAUGUUUCGUUAAUUAUUUACACUUGUGCAAGUUAACUAUUACCAACAUACGUUAAGUCCUGUAGAACUCUAGUUAUCGGAUUGUCUUUCAAUACUUCAUGCAUCUGAUUUAUUUAUUCGUUUAAUGAAAACAAAAUCAAAGUUUGUUAAUACUUUUCUUUGCUUAACAAUUGUUCAACAUUUUAAAGAAACACGUCUUGUCGCAGUGAUGUUCUUAUCAACAUUUGGAACAGCUGAAUGAAAGAUGCAGGCAUAUUACAGAUGAUAGCUUCGAGCAAUUAUGUACAACGUAUCGUUGUGAAUCAGGUUGUUAUGUGUUCGUACCCUUGAAACAAUCGCGAGAAAAAGAUACUUCUUGGUCUUUGUGCUUAGUCUCUUUUCAGUAUGUACUGGUGGUUGCUACUGCUUGAAAUCCAAGAGACGCCAGGGUUUUAAAGAAAUGCUCUUCGUGCAAAUGAAGAACGGUAAGUUCCACAUUUCCAUCUAACUAGUAAACUAUCCGAAUGUAAAUGGCUCACUGUGCAGCUGGUGUGGUUUAUGCAGAAACUGAAGGCUCAGAAAUGUUGAUAUUUCUUCUGGAUACUUGAAUAAAGAUGGCUCAUAUUCAUAUUGAGAUUUUAAAUGGCACAAACUGUGAGUCUUUUUAAUGUAUCUUUUAAGUUGUGAACGAAGUACCAUGACAAAUAAAUAAGUCAUACUCUUUAAUCAAA
RNA transcript from Anopheles coluzzii, 4558 nucleotides. It is a transcript of the gene named serine/threonine-protein kinase PRP4 homolog, with no coding region annotated. NCBI's taxonomy places the organism in Eukaryota, Metazoa, Arthropoda, Insecta, Diptera, Culicidae. The record is from RefSeq and is a predicted model, not a curated record. The transcript has 8 exons.